Molecule: ribosomal RNA, 115 nt
Filed under: uncultured eukaryote
Lineage: Eukaryota
Description: partial 16S ribosomal RNA
Rfam family: Bacterial small subunit ribosomal RNA
Source: RNAcentral
UACCGCGUGAGGGAAGACGGCCUAUGGGUUGUAAACCUCUUUUUUCAGGGAGGAAUAACUGACGUGUACCUGAAGAAUAAGCAUCGGCUAACUCCGUGCCAGCAGCCGCGGUAAU